Molecule: long non-coding RNA, 272 nt
Organism: Suricata suricatta (meerkat)
Lineage: Eukaryota; Metazoa; Chordata; Mammalia; Carnivora; Herpestidae
Exons: 3
Source: RefSeq, a predicted model, not a curated record
CCACGGAAACCCAGGCUCCAGAGUUUUGCGGUUGCAGAGAAGGUCCAGUUGGCUAUGCGCCUCUAACUGAGGGACCUCACCUGUCUGGGAAGGGACGUCAAAGAACCUUCCCUCAGCAAAUGAUGUUCGAAGCACUGCUUUCAAGUGGGAAUAGCGAGAGAGUUCUCAUGGAAAAGGCUGUUGUGGGAAGAGAGAUGACAGUGGAAUGAAGCCUUCAGACAAACUGGCACAGGAGAGAGACAGCGUGAGCAGGAGAGGGUCAGAGAGAGAUG